This 479-nucleotide ribosomal RNA is filed under the name uncultured Bordetella sp. RNAcentral describes it as "bacterial SSU rRNA". It matches the Rfam family "Bacterial small subunit ribosomal RNA", at positions 897 to 1382 of the family's 1533-position model. Lineage: Bacteria; Pseudomonadati; Pseudomonadota; Betaproteobacteria; Burkholderiales; Alcaligenaceae. The record is from RNAcentral.
AAACUUAAAUGAAUUGAGGGGCCCGCACAAGCGGUGGAGCAUGUGGUUUAAUUCGACGCAACGCGAAGAACCUUACCUACCCUUGACAUGUCUGGAAUCCCGAAGAGAUUUGGGAGUGCUCGCAAGAGAACCGGAACACAGGUGCUGCAUGGCUGUCGUCAGCUCGUGUCGUGAGAUGUUGGGUUAAGUCCCGCAACGAGCGCAACCCUUGUCAUUAGUUGCUACGAAAGGGCACUCUAAUGAGACUGCCGGUGACAAACCGGAGGAAGGUGGGGAUGACGUCAAGUCCUCAUGGCCCUUAUGGGUAGGGCUUCACACGUCAUACAAUGGUCGGGACAGAGGGUUGCCAACCCGCGAGGGGGAGCUAAUCCCAGAAACCCGAUCGUAGUCCGGAUUGCAGUCUGCAACUCGACUGCAUGAAGUCGGAAUCGCUAGUAAUCGCGGAUCAGCAUGUCGCGGUGAAUACGUUCCCGGGUCUU